GCCCGCCUAGCUCAAUCGGAUAGAGCGUCAGACUCUUAUCCCCCGAAUGGACAUUUCCUUCAAUUCACUAGGUGGUGCGAUCUGAAGGCUGCGAGUUCGACCCUCGCGGUGGGCU
Transfer RNA from Daedalea quercina L-15889, 115 nucleotides. It matches the Rfam family "tRNA". From Rfam's summary of the family: Transfer RNA (tRNA) molecules are approximately 80 nucleotides in length. Their secondary structure includes four short double-helical elements and three loops (D, anti-codon, and T loops). NCBI's taxonomy places the organism in Eukaryota, Fungi, Basidiomycota, Agaricomycetes, Polyporales, Fomitopsidaceae. The record is from Rfam.